GGGGCUCUUGCUGGUGACCUCUGCACACCUGAGGCCUUUUAAAGGUAAACUCAUCCUCUGUGUUACCAUUCAUCACCCCGAAGAGACCCUGAGUGUGAUUCAUAAACUUCUCUGGGAGCAGAACUGUCAGGGUCAGAAAUCCUCCACUUCCCCUAAUCUCCACUCCAGACCCAGAGGAGAACAUCACUGUAACUUUCUGAUCAUCCGUAGAAUGAAGAAAGAGACCUAAAAUGAUGAGAGAAUGAAGACAAAAUAGUUAAUCACACAAAGCGAAUGGAUGAGGAGUAAGGACUAAUUCUCUUCCUUGGCAAGGAGGAGUAAUUCUCUUCAUCCUCCAUGGGAUGAGAAGGGAAAUCAAUGCCUGCUUCAUUCGUGUAAUCUUUCAUUAUCUUGUAGAGAAAUGAAGUCAAACAUCUCAGUACCAUUUCCAGAAUUUCCCUCUCUUUGUAUUUCUCUACACAUCCCCAAAAGUUCAGGAUAGCACCAAGUGUUGGUGAAGGCUGUCAUUUAUGUUACUUGGACUUUAUGGAAGAGGAGAAGAUGCCUGUCUUCUACAAAUCCAAUGACUCUGCCUCUUCCUGGUGGUGUUGGUAUUACUGCUAUCCUAACUGCCAGCAAUACUGAAAGGCAUGAAAGUAAUAGGAUGUGAUGCUUUGACCCAGGCUGCAUCUGCCUGCUACAUCUCUCCAUGGGGACACAGCCACAGUGUGUGCCUCUAUAGCUGUUUGGAAGGAGAUUAGUGGCCCAUAACUCUGGUGUUUAUAUUCCUGUCCACAGAGUAGCUAUAAUCGGUCUUGAAGACAAGAGGAAUUUGUUCUCUGUAUAAAGACACAGCCAGCAAGGCAGAUUGGAUGGAAAGCACACUCUUUCCCAUGCUUCCCAUAUCUUUCACCAAGGUCUAGCUGUUUAUUACCACUGAUUCUGCCUCAAUCUGGCAACAACUGAAGAAAUGCAGAUAAUAACGUCUAAUUAUCUGGGAUAUUUAAUUUUUAGAGUGACCUGUAGGCUGUUUCUCAAAAGUGCACUGAAAAUAGGAUGGAAAUGCAGGCAUGUAGAGAUCUUUUUAGCUCUAGAGGGGUUCCAGAGAAAUACAAUAGCUUUCAAGGCUGAUAUCUGUAACUAACCUUCCAGGUCCAUCCAACUUUGCUCAGAGAAGUUGACCACCUUCUGGUUCAACAGGACCUCCAGAUUCAAAUCCUCUGAGUAGCGUACUUCAAUCACAUCGGAGUUGUUCUCCUGCAUGGCCACUGCAGACAGGCCUGUCACCUGAGCCUGAGUUCCUUCAGAAAAAGGCACAAAAAAUCAACUUCUCAAGUUACCUUGCAUCAAAUAAACUCAAUUUGGAAGGUGGUAAUUAUACAGGCAACAAAACAGCAGCAACAAGCCAAACAGAAAACACGUAGCACCUGGAUAUCUAAAAUGUCUGUAUGUGAUAAAGUAGCAGAAUGCCAGAACGCAUGCAAUUACUUUGAGAAAAGCAAUUGUGUUUCUGCUGGUAAUGGUUGCUCAUCAGUGUGAGGUGUUCAUCAGCCUGUGAAUGGAGAACAGCCCAGAGAAACACUAGCCAUAGGCUGGGAAUUAAGAAGGCAGAGGGAGAAAGAAGGCCAGAGAAGAUAUAAUGAAUACUGUAAAGAGCGAGUCAAGCAACCUCAGAAGCUGUUGUUUAUCAUCACUGCUUUCUCUCUUACCAACUUACCAUUGGGAAAGCGUGCUUGCUGGGUCCUCCCUUGCACCCUUAGGGAUGUGAGAUCAGACUCUACCAAUAUGUAUUCCCCUUGUCCUUUGAAAGUGAAGUUUAGACCAUCAAAUGUGAGGAAGUGAGGAUCCCCAAAGGCAGAUGCUAUUUUGGAAAGCAAAAACAGAAAUAAGAGCAAGAAAAGCCCACAGUCCAUUAGGAAGCCAAAGCCUCUAGCUAAAUGUCAUCUAUUUAGAUUCCAGGAACUGAUAAGAUGCUCAAGCCAGUUUUGUAGGGCAGUUAAAAAACACGUUUUGCUACUGACAGAUCAGUUGAAUCCUGCCAUGGAAAUUUUCUACAGGAUAUUGUGCCCUCAGCACUGCCAACUGGCAUUAAUACAUACACAGACAUCCUAAAAGCCAAACCUGUAUGGAAAGUCUACUCCAAAAUGGAAUUCUGGAGCUCUUACCAGCUCGGGGUGGGCGAUACGUCCUGCAGUCGCUUGAGGGGCGGUUUUUCAUAUAGAAGUGACAAUUAUCAGACCACAGGCAACAGUAAUAGAAGCUGAUAACAUCAUAAAGCCAAUGGGAAAAGGCAGGUAUCCGGGGAGGCUUCAGGAAGGGUGGUGCCCCCCAGUCAUGGCCUCGAUCAGGUGUGCUGCCUCCUGUGGAAUCUUGUGUGAGGAUUUGGGUCCCUGUGGAGUCGUAGCAGCACUGCUGUCCUGCUCUGUACUGGGGGCUGGUUGAGAAAUGUAGGAAGAGGAAUGUCAUCAUUCAGCUCUGGGAGGUCCGUUUGUGUUUAAUGGCUGCCUUUACGUGGACAUGAACAGAUGUUUUGGUUACCAAGCUCUAUGAUAUCCACAAAAGGUGUGUCAGUAAAUAUUUUUGUUUCUGCUCUUAUGGAAUAGAUCAGAUCAGGGAUUGGGUGGGAUUGGUCUUUAACCAAGGCUGUGGGGAAGCUCUGCAGGCCUUAUGGCCACACAUGCAUAGCACUACUAGCAUUAUUCUGAGAGAACAAGUGCAACCAACAACCAUCACAAAAAAGGCUUAAUUAAGUCUAAUCAAACUGCUUUUAGAUAUUACUGCUUGUUUAUGUAUCUUGAGGUUCAGCACUGUGCAAGUAAUUGUCCAGUAAGACUAAGGCAUUAACUUCACCUCAGCAAUGAGGAGUAAUAGGGGAGCAAGAGAGAAACAGUGAUUGCCUUAAACCUGAUUGCUGAGACUCCAGAGGCCUUUCUGACUUCUGUGAUGCUAUGAUCUCUGAGGUGAAACAAGUCAUUAAAAAAAAAAUGUGGCUACAAAAAUUGUUCUUUACCUGGCUUGAAUGGCCCUUACACAGUGCACAGCGCCAGGGUG
Gallus gallus (chicken) is the source of this 3030-nucleotide long non-coding RNA. RefSeq lists it as uncharacterized. The transcript is spliced from 2 exons. NCBI's taxonomy places the organism in Eukaryota, Metazoa, Chordata, Aves, Galliformes, Phasianidae. The record is from RefSeq and is a predicted model, not a curated record.